CAGCCGCCGCGGGAAAACGUAGGGCGCAAGCGUUAUCCGGAAUUAUUGGGCGUAAAGAGCUCGUAGGCGGUUUGUCGCGUCUGCCGUGAAAGUCCGGGGCUCAACCCCGGAUCUGCGGUGGGUACGGGCAGACUAGAGUGAUGUAGGGGGGACUGGAAUUCCUGGUGUAGCGGUGAAAUGCGCAGAUAUCAGGAGGAACACCGAUGGCGAAGGCAGGUCUCUGGGCAUUAACUGACGCUGAGGAGCGAAAGCAUGGGGAGCGAACAGGAUUAGAUACCCCCGUAGUCCCUGUCUCUUAUAC
Molecule: ribosomal RNA, 301 nt
Filed under: uncultured bacterium
Lineage: Bacteria
Description: partial 16S ribosomal RNA
Rfam family: Bacterial small subunit ribosomal RNA
Source: RNAcentral